GCUUUCACUUACUUGUCCGUCUAAUAUUUUUUUUAAAGAUAUGUUUUCAGUCCUUUUGCUGAAAGGGAGGGGUUUUUAUGCAUUACUUUCAAUGUGCGUUCCUUUUCAAAUCAUCUCAAAACAUCAUCUCUCUAACGUAGAGUAACAGCGAUAAUUAAGCUUUAACUUGCACUUAGACCAAAAGUUUUUUAUUACUGUAUCCACGUUAAGACUUUUCUGCACAAUGUAAAACUGCGAUUUACCUUGUUGUGACUUAACCCCCAAUUUUCUUUUUAGAUGUUCAACAAGACAUUGGUGCACUGUGUUACCUUUCACCCAGUGAAACAUCACACAAUCUUUGUUGAUGCCCUUGCACGGCAUCAAAAUGUCAAAGGGGGCGUUAACCACAUUAUUAAUCAUGCAAAUAAAUAUUGCGGGAAUAUCUUCACGCAUAGGUAUAACGUAUCAUUCAGCAAUGUGCACAAAUUUGACCUCGAAAAAGGUGUUUGAACUUGUCUUUGUCCUUUUCUCUUUUGCUAACAUAGGCAAUGAUAGAUUAUUCAUGAGUCAUGUUGAUUGUUUUGACAGACGCUGUGGCAACGACAAUGAAAGCAACGUUCAGUUCAUUUGUGUGAGUCACAAAUCUGCCUUAAAACUGAAAUGGCCCAGAUCCGCCUGAAAAUCCUCCCCAGCGCCCGCUGUCUCUUUGACAAACUGGUUCAAGUCAAAGUCGAGGGUCUCGCUCCACACAAACAGGUGGAAUUAAGGUCGAGAUUGGUUGACGACAAAGGGGUGAUUUUCAAAGCUUCCGCCCUCUACCAAGCGGAUGAAAAAGGCCUGGUCGAUGUGAGUAGCACCCCCUCUCUGGGAGGAAGUUACACUGGAGUGGAGCCCAUGGGCUUAUGGUGGUCCAUGAGGCCAGACACCCCGCACAAAAAACUGGUGAAGAAAAACGUCCUGAGCCCAACUCUCGUGGAGAUAGCAGUCCACAACGGAGGCACUGGCGAGAAGAUAGCCUCUGAAAUCAAUGAGAGAGAAUAUAUGACGGAGGGCAUGAGGAGAAUUCCUGUGCAAGAGGGACGUGUGCGAGGAGUCCUCUUUAUACCACCAGGGAAGGGGCCAUUCCCUGGAAUUCUGGAUUUAUAUACUUUAGGUGGAGGCCUAAAUGAACAGCGAGCCAGCCUCUUGGCAAACAAAGGUUUUGUUGUGCUGGCACUGGCCUAUUAUGGCUACCAAGAUUUACCCAAAAAUCCCAAGAACUUGGAUUUGGAAUACUUUGAAGAGGCUGCAAACUUUCUGCAGAAACAUCCAGAGGUUCGAGGUCCUGGCAUAGGCGUAAUAUCAAUGUCCCAUAGCGGUGCUUUGGCAUUGUCAAUGGCGUCAUUUUUCUCAGGAAUCACAGCAACCGUCUGUAUCAAUGGCUGCAGUGGCAAUACCGUGAUUCCAUUACACUACAAAGACUCUGUUAUACCGCCACUACGACCUGUCUUAUGGAAGACAAGAAUUCGCAGAUCUUGGCUGAUUGAUAUCCGCGAUGUGACGCCAGAUCCGACCUUGAAAAAAAAUCGGGCGUCUUUAAUUCCAAUAGAGCGUGCCAACUGCCACUUCCUGUUUGCCGCUUCAGAAGACGACCGCAACUGGAACAGCGCUUUUUUCGCCAGGCAAGCCGCUGACAUUUUGAAAUGUCACGGCAAGGAAUCCUUUCAGGUGGUUUCUUACCCGAAAGCUGGACACUUUUUGGAAGUUCCUCACAUGCCAUUUUGUCCGUCUUCCUUCCAUGCUGCAGUGGGAAGAGCUGUGGCGUUUGGUGGGGAGCCAAAAGCCCACUCGGAGGCUCAGCUGGACUUGUGGGAGUGCGUCCAAGAGUUCUUCAAAAGACACUUGAACAACACGCGCGCAUAUUAGCAAGCAUCAAGUGUGUCAGGCAUCCAAGGCUCACAUGUUUGACACCAAAUGAGGUCAACACAACCAUGAUAUUUAGACACUCCAAAAUGAUAUUUCCUGUGAUGACAGCACAUAAACUCGAUUUAAAGAUU
Molecule: RNA transcript, 2015 nt
Organism: Hippocampus comes (tiger tail seahorse)
Lineage: Eukaryota; Metazoa; Chordata; Actinopteri; Syngnathiformes; Syngnathidae
Gene name: acyl-coenzyme A thioesterase 1-like
Exons: 4
Source: RefSeq, a predicted model, not a curated record